AGCAGCCGCGGUAAUUCCAGCUCCAAUAGCGUAUAUUAAAGUUGUUGCAGUUAAAAAGCUCGUAGUUGAAUUUCGGGACCAGUAUGUCGGUCGUGCUUCGGUACGUACUUGCAUUAUUGGUUUCUCCCUUCUGACGAACCAUGAUGUCAUUAAUUUGAUGUCAUGGGGAAUCAGGACUGUUACUUUGAAAAAAUUAGAGUGUUUAAAGCAGGCUAACGCUUGAAUACAUUAGCAUGGAAUAAUGAAAUAGGACGUUCGAUCCUAUUUUGUUGGUUUCUAGGAUUGACGUAAUGAUUAAUAGGGAUAGUUGGGGGCAUUAGUAUUCAAUUGUCAGAGGUGAAAUUCUUGGAUUUAUUGAAGACUAACUACUGCGAAAGCAUUUGCCAAGGAUGUUUUCAUUAAUCAAGAACGAAAGUUAGGGGAUCGAAGACGAUCAGAUACCGUCGUAGUCUUAACCAUAAACUAUGCCGACUAGGGAUCGGAUGAUGUUAAUUUUUAAUGACUCAUUCGGCGCCUUAAC
Molecule: ribosomal RNA, 520 nt
Filed under: uncultured Glomus
Lineage: Eukaryota; Fungi; Glomeromycota; Glomeromycetes; Glomerales; Glomeraceae
Description: SSU rRNA
Rfam family: Eukaryotic small subunit ribosomal RNA
Source: RNAcentral